RNAcentral lists this long non-coding RNA (1792 nucleotides) under Sorghum bicolor (sorghum). RNAcentral describes it as "long non-coding RNA (SBIC_LNC014982)". Lineage: Eukaryota; Viridiplantae; Streptophyta; Magnoliopsida; Poales; Poaceae. The record is from RNAcentral.
UCGUUGUAUCACUUGCGGUUGUGAAGGAUCCCAACAAUAAUGUGGACAACAUAUCCACAUGUGAUGUGACCCAGCCCCAGUGGAGCCGCUUGAUUGCUUACCGGUUUAGCUCUGCUUUGUGUUCAUGUAUUUUUGGACCUGUUUCAGUUUUGAGAAAAUUAAAUGAUUAACCUGCCAAGCUAAUUUAUUAGUUACAUGGAGGUAUGCAGCUGAGCAAACAGUUGAAAAUUAAAUGACUAACCUGCCAAGCUAAUCUGUUGCGUACAGUUCACCGUGCAAUGGAACAAUUACUAAGUGAGCAGAGCUAAUUAUUUGCACUCAAGAGGUGGAAGGGCAAGUACUAUGAGGACCUAGUGUAAUCUCAUGAUCCCCAGGCUUUGUCUUUUUCGCAUGUUGGAAGCGGGUUGUGGAACAUUGUAUCAACUCGAUGCAAUCUUCUUGUAUUAAUAGAAAAGUCAUUCUUGUCUAAAAAAACCUAGCUAGCUAGUUAAAGGUGGGUCUGUUUUUGUCAAUUAUUUAGCACACACUGUUCCAUAAAGUUGCACAAGCAUUGCCAUUUCACCUCUUGAUUGCAACUACGCGUCUAGGCAGCCUCUGCACUAUAUAUUUGUCUGAUCCCAGCUUUAUCGAUCUAAAAAAUAUCAUGAAGGAUUUUACUUUGACUUUAUGUGCACUAAGUGUUAGUCCACAAACAUCAUUUCAAUGUGCAUUGCUUUCGCCGGGGGGGGGGCGGGGUUCAAUUUACUAAGGCCAUGGAGUAAUAUAAUGUUAUCUGCAGAUGUGGUUGGCCUCAAUCUCUAUAUCUAUGGCAUGUCUUUUGAAAUCAAACAGAGUGAAGGGCAGACUAUGCUAUGCGUUUAGGGUACUUAUUGAUCAGGUCAGCAGAAAACUGCGGGUGUGCAUGGAUACAAGGAGAUUGCUGCUACUUUUGGGAUGGAAGGCCUCAGGAGCACAUGGGAUGCAUGGUUUCCACCUGUGGUAGACGGGAGCAUCUCCUUCAGUUAGACCUUCCAAAAGGAAGGGCAAACCGUUCUCCACUAAUACAAGAGGUUUGAUGCCUCUUUCAUCGGGCUGCCACAUAAGUCGGCCUCCUCUGCAACAACGUCGUACGGCAUACAUACAAACUGGUAUAUGGAUACCGGUGCGACGGACCAUAUUACCAAUGAUCUAGAAAGGCUCAUGGUACAUGACAAGUACCACAGUGCCAAAAAAGUUCACGCUGCCAAUGGAUCAGGAAUGGAGAUCACUCAUGUUGGUCAUAGCUUAUUGCGCUCCGCUACUACCAACACUCAACUGAGAAAUAUUCUUCUUGUUUCUAAACCCUACAAAAACCUCCUUUCUGUUCAUCAUCUUACAAAUCAUAAUGGUGUUUUUCUUGAAUUUCUUCCAAACCACUUCGCUAUAAAGGAGGUGGAGACAAGGAGAACCCUACUCAAAGGCCGAUGUGAAGGAAGCCUCUACCCGCCGCGAUCAUCCACAAAUAAGUCAUCCUCGAAUAAGCAAGCUCUCAGCAUUGUUAGGCCAACCACAUCCUUGUGGCUCCAUGCUAAGCCACGCUUCCACUGAAGUAGUGCAACAGGUCCUUAGUCAUCACAAGCUUUCAUUUGUUAAAGACUUGAAUGAUGAUCAUCUCUACUAUAAUGGGCCAAUCAAAAUUAUAUUAUAUCCCCUCAGAAAAACAUCCCAUGCUGAGAGUCACCAACCAUUGUGUACCAAGAAAAAUGUACAUAGGAAUUCAUCCCCAUUAAAAUCAAGGGCUAAUAAAACAUCCAAACCAAAUCUGAUGGCCAAU